Punica granatum (pomegranate) is the source of this 1911-nucleotide non-coding RNA. Lineage: Eukaryota; Viridiplantae; Streptophyta; Magnoliopsida; Myrtales; Lythraceae. The record is from RefSeq and is a predicted model, not a curated record.
AGGCCUGGCAAGGGGAGGCGUCGGUCUCCGGUCCGUCCAUUUGUUUGACUUCGGCUUGACCGCCUGUGAUCCAACGGUGCUGGUUUUGACUUUCACGGCUUUGACAUCUCUUGUCGAUUAAAAACCUGUCAGACUCGGACAUCAUUUUUAUUUUUUGUUUUCGUUUUUUUUUCUCUUUUACCGUUGUCAGCAAAUAGUUAAUUGGUCGUUGUUGGUUGGGUGCUUCUCCGGUUCAUUAAGGAGAUCGGUCCCGGGCGGAAUUCGGGUGGCUAUCAGAACUUCUUCUUAUAGUAGAAUACGAACCACGGAGGGAUGAUUCAGCGGCCGCCUUGAGGUAAAUCUCGGGUAAUUUGGUGCAAAAUACAUAUCAUUGGAAAGCUUAUCCAGUAAGAGUUCAACGCUUCAAACGGUGCUCAAAUCGGAGCUAAAAUGGAGGAGAUAUGUUAAAUGGAAGACAAGCUGCGCAGAAACGGAAAGAUUCGAAAGUGCCUUGGCACCAGAUUUCAGUGCUGCACCACUAAUGCUACUGCCCUUUGGCCGACCUGAGUCUCUUGCCCGUGAUUUCUCUUAGAUAUUUUGGGUCAAAGAGAUAUGUUUGAGAUGUAUUUGGGUGGUUGUUUAUAGGAAAAAGAUUGACGUUGUCUAUAGAUAUAUUUUUGCAGAGAAAGAUGGGGAAAUUAGAGAAAAAUUAGGAAAUUGAUUCUCGGGAGAUAUUUUUGCUAAUAAUGGAAUUCUUUUUUUAACAAGAGGGCUGAGCGUUCAAGAGGGGAGAGGUGUUCGUGGGGCAGAGGAGAUGCCUGGAGCAAGGAGGAGAAGUUCGAGAAGAUGGAGUCCGAUGGUCUCGAGUUAGAAAACCGAGCCACUUUCCUUCUUGUGAUCUUUUACUUUUCUUGUCUCUGUGUUAUCUAUCCGCUAUCAAAUGAUUAUUUUCAUUAUCUUUAGCAUGAACUAAUUUCUUUUGCCUAGGGUUACCAUAGAUCUUGAUAGUUGAUCGAGAGCAGUGAACUCUCUCAUUAUUUUUAUCGAAUGAAGUUUCAGUUAUUUAUUCCUAUGCAUGCAUAAUGUUUUUCAAUUACUUGAUCAUCAAUUGGAUUGACUUGGUAAUCUAGAAGAACUCGGCCGUGAAAGGAUUAGCCUAAAUUAAUCUUGGUCGGAAGAUGAGAUUAUUAGUGAAAAGGAUAGGAAUAUACCGGCUUGCCUUAGGUAGUCGAUUUAGGAUUGAUUCGUAAAGGGUUCUUGCUAAUUGUUUUGUCUAUGAAUAGAGUGAGUAAUUAUUUACAAGAGAAUACGUUCCUAUGAUACUCGGAAGAGGGGUAGGAAGACGUUAUAAUCCUAGAUUAACAAAUGUUUAUUCGAUGUUAUUAAGAGAGAGGAAUCGACUCGAGAUUAAUUGGUAAGUGAAAAUGUACACCCUAGGUCCAUUGUCAUUGAUUUUAAAUCUCAAUUAAUUUGCAUGCUUUUAUUUAAUUUAAUUAGUUUAGAAAAAUCAUCGGAAAUUUGAUUGUUUGAAUAAUAGUGGGCUGACACAAUUUUAGUACUCGAUAGAAGUUGAGUUAGGUCUCUGUGGGAACGAUACUCUUACUCUUACUUUAUUACUUGAACGAUAGAGUGCCGUUGCAUUGAUACGCUUUUAUCGUAACAUGUUUUUGGCGCCAUUGUCGGAGACCAAGUCUUUAUUUUUAGCUUUUGCUUAAUUAUGAUCGGUUUUCUUGAUUUUCAGGGAGAUUUGCGUCUGGUCAUGGCAUCGGCAAAUUAUCAAUGGCUGGCAAAGAGUAUGAGGCCAAGUGUAGAAGCAAUUAUAAUUGAACCAAAGGGGAUACGUUUUUGUAGAAGCAAUUGUAAUUAUUACUUGAGCGAUAGCUUGUACUUAUGUUGAUAUUUUCUUAUGGUAACAAUUAUAUAUUUAAAUCU